AGAGUUUGAUCCUGGCUCAGGACGAACGCUGGCGGCGUGCCUAAUACAUGCAAGUAGAACGCUGAAGAGAGGAGCUUGCUCUUCUUGGAUGAGUUGCGAACGGGUGAGUAACGCGUAGGUAACCUGCCUUGUAGCGGGGGAUAACUAUUGGAAACGAUAGCUAAUACCGCAUAACAAUGGAUGACCCAUGUCAUUUAUUUGAAAGGGGCAAAUGCUCCACUACAAGAUGGACCUGCGUUGUAUUAGCUAGUAGGUGAGGUAACGGCUCACCUAGGCGACGAUACAUAGCCGACCUGAGAGGGUGAUCGGCCACACUGGGACUGAGACACGGCCCAGACUCCUACGGGAGGCAGCAGUAGGGAAUCUUCGGCAAUGGGGGCAACCCUGACCGAGCAACGCCGCGUGAGUGAAGAAGGUUUUCGGAUCGUAAAGCUCUGUUGUAAGUCAAGAACGAGUGUGAGAGUGGAAAGUUCACACUGUGACGGUAGCUUACCAGAAAGGGACGGCUAACUACGUGCCAGCAGCCGCGGUAAUACGUAGGUCCCGAGCGUUGUCCGGAUUUAUUGGGCGUAAAGCGAGCGCAGGCGGUUUGAUAAGUCUGAAGUUAAAGGCUGUGGCUCAACCAUAGUUCGCUUUGGAAACUGUCAAACUUGAGUGCAGAAGGGGAGAGUGGAAUUCCAUGUGUAGCGGUGAAAUGCGUAGAUAUAUGGAGGAACACCGGUGGCGAAAGCGGCUCUCUGGUCUGUAACUGACGCUGAGGCUCGAAAGCGUGGGGAGCGAACAGGAUUAGAUACCCUGGUAGUCCACGCCGUAAACGAUGAGUGCUAGGUGUUGGAUCCUUUCCGGGAUUCAGUGCCGCAGCUAACGCAUUAAGCACUCCGCCUGGGGAGUACGACCGCAAGGUUGAAACUCAAAGGAAUUGACGGGGGCCCGCACAAGCGGUGGAGCAUGUGGUUUAAUUCGAAGCAACGCGAAGAACCUUACCUGGUCUUGACAUCCCGAUGCUAUUUCUAGAGAUAGAAAGUUACUUCGGUACAUCGGUGACAGGUGGUGCAUGGUUGUCGUCAGCUCGUGUCGUGAGAUGUUGGGUUAAGUCCCGCAACGAGCGCAACCCCUAUUGUUAGUUGCCAUCAUUCAGUUGGGCACUCUAGCGAGACUGCCGGUAAUAAACCGGAGGAAGGUGGGGAUGACGUCAAAUCAUCAUGCCCCUUAUGACCUGGGCUACACACGUGCUACAAUGGUUGGUACAACGAGUUGCGAGUCGGUGACGGCAAGCUAAUCUCUUAAAGCCAAUCUCAGUUCGGAUUGUAGGCUGCAACUCGCCUACAUGAAGUCGGAAUCGCUAGUAAUCGCGGAUCAGCACGCCGCGGUGAAUACGUUCCCGGGCCUUGUACACACCGCCCGUCACACCACGAGAGUUUGUAACACCCGAAGUCGGUGAGGUAACCUUUUGGAGCCAGCCGCCUAAGGUGGGAUAGAUGAUUGGGGUGAAGUCGUAACAAGGUA
This 1506-nucleotide ribosomal RNA is filed under the name metagenome. RNAcentral describes it as "bacterial SSU rRNA". It matches the Rfam family "Bacterial small subunit ribosomal RNA". The record is from RNAcentral.